UACGUAGGGUGCAAGCGUUGUCCGGAAUUAUUGGGCGUAAAGAGCUCGUAGGCGGUUUGUCACGUCGGAUGUGAAAACCCGAGGCUUAACCUCGGGCCUGCAUUCGAUACGGGCUGACUAGAGUUCGGUAGGGGAGGCUGGAAUUCCUGGUGUAGCGGUGAAAUGCGCAGAUAUCAGGAGGAACACCGAUGGCGAAGGCAGGUCUCUGGGCUGACACUGACGCUCAUGCACGAAAGCGUGGGGAGCAAACAGG
This 253-nucleotide ribosomal RNA is filed under the name uncultured bacterium. RNAcentral describes it as "partial 16S ribosomal RNA". It matches the Rfam family "Bacterial small subunit ribosomal RNA", at positions 524 to 776 of the family's 1533-position model. The record is from RNAcentral.